This 305-nucleotide ribosomal RNA is filed under the name uncultured bacterium. RNAcentral describes it as "bacterial SSU rRNA". It matches the Rfam family "Bacterial small subunit ribosomal RNA", at positions 337 to 635 of the family's 1533-position model. The record is from RNAcentral.
UCCUACGGGGGGCAGCAGUUGGGAAUUUUCGUCAAUGGGCGCAAGCCUGAACGAGCAAUGCCGCGUGAACGAGGAAGGUCUUCGGAUCGUAAAGUUCUGUUGAAGGGGAAAAAGAGCGGAGAGAGGAAAUGGUCUCCGAUUGAUAUUACCCUUCGAGGAAGUCACGGCUAACUACGUGCCAGCAGCCGCGGUAAUACGUAGGUGGCGAGCGUUAUCCGGAAUGAUUGGGCGUAAAGGGUGCGUAGGCGGCCUGCUAAGUCUGGAGUGAAAGGUACCGGCUCAACCGGUACAGGCUCUGGAAACUG